UACAGAGGUCCCAAGCGUUGUUCGGAUUCACUGGGCGUAAAGGGUGCGUAGGCGGUCGGGUAAGUCUGAUGUGAAAUCUCACAGCUUAACUGUGAAACUGCAUUGGAUACUAUCCGGCUCGAGGAAUGGAGGGGAGACUGGAAUACUUGGUGUGGCAGUGAAAUGCGUAGAUAUCAAGUGGAACACCAGUGGCGAAGGCGGCGUCCUGGCCUGCGACUGACGCUGUGGCGCGAAAGCUAGGGGAGCGAACGGG
This 253-nucleotide ribosomal RNA is filed under the name uncultured bacterium. RNAcentral's name for it is "partial 16S ribosomal RNA". It matches the Rfam family "Bacterial small subunit ribosomal RNA", at positions 524 to 776 of the family's 1533-position model. The record is from RNAcentral.